Molecule: long non-coding RNA, 2802 nt
Filed under: Mus musculus (house mouse)
Lineage: Eukaryota; Metazoa; Chordata; Mammalia; Rodentia; Muridae
Description: predicted gene, 32817, transcript variant 13 (Gm32817)
Source: RNAcentral
AGUCCCGGCUAGGGACACAGCUCUUAGACUUUGAGCUAGACAACCAGGAGGACAGGAGGACCUAGUAUCCUGCCUCCAUCAGCCCAUCAUUUAUGCAAAUGCUACUUAGUUGCCGUCUAGAUGCAGGAUGCUGUCUGCCCUGUUAAAUGCUGUGUGAACCCAGAUGGAAGCUGAGCAGACAUCACACUCGUGAGCAGCUCCCCUUCCUGUGAGCAUCUCCCCUUCCUAUGCUGAGAUUAAAGGCAUGUGCCAUCACCACCUGAACAACAGCAGCUUUCUAAGGAACCAGUAAGGCACUACAGACUUUUCAUAUAACAUCACCUUCAUUCUCUCACAACUAAUUCUACAAAACAGAUGUUAUACGACCUCGUUCGCUGAAGUCAAAGAUGCAGAGGGGCCAAGGUGUGGGCUCCGGACCUCACACCAGUGUGGCAGAUUCAACAAGCCCAGAAUAAGCCUCUUCCUUUGCUCACAAUAAGAUUAAGCCAACUGCCUCUUCAUUCCUCAGUCACACUCCUCCUCUGACCCUGCUCCAGGAGGCUCAUCUUGUCAGACUUCACACUGAAUGAGCGCUGAGGAUGCUGUAGAGUAUGAGCUGUGUGCAGGUUUCAAAAGCAAUUUGUGCCCCUGAAACAAGCCAACCAGCAGAGAAGGAACAAAAGAAACAUGGUGUCUUCUACCUCCAGCCUUGAAGCUUCCAGACCUCCCUACACGAACCCCCCCCCCACACCCACUCCCCGAAAUGAUGUCCCAGUGAAGAGCCAGGCUCUUAUCCUUCCAUCCAUGCCUCUCAGGCGUCUGCUUCAUUUAGCAUGUAUGUGCAUUUUACCAGGUUAAUGCAACACAGACUAUUUCCUAGUAGCUGUGAAGCCCAGUGUAGCCUCUGCUGCCGGACACAUGGUUUGUCUCCAGUCUUUCCCUUCCCAGCAAAGCAGCCUUGACUCAUCUCCUUUCUCUAUGACAGAGCCCUUUAGAAUGUACUCACUGGGCCAACGAUGCAGUUUCAAUUUGGGUUUUUAAUGGAAGUGGGUGGCUAGGUAAGUGGGUUGAAUGACUGACUGAUUCUGAAUAGCUCUGAAUUUAUUGAGCUGCUUCCAGGAAGGUCCAGGUGACCUGGGUAGCAGAAAGGACACCCAUUCCUGUUUGAUGGUGUUUUUUUUCUAUCUAUCAUCCUUCCUGUCUUUCCUUCUUUAUUUCUUUCUGGGUGAGACAGGGUCUUAUAAUACAGUUUCAGCCAGCCUGGAACUCAUUAUGUAAACCAGGCUGGUCUCCAGCUCAUGGAGAUGAGCCUGCCUUUGCUUCCCAUGUACUGAAAUUAAAGCCCAGCUUGUUUUUUUCUCUUUACCACACUGGGGAUUCAACCCAAGGCUAGUAAGCACCCUGGCACUGAGUAUAUUCUGGACCUCUUCUUAUUUUAAUGUUGAUGUAGGGUCCUGCUAAGUUUCCCAGACUGACCUUCAACUCACUAUGCAAGUCCAGGCAGGCCUUGAACUCACGAUCCUCCUGGUUCAGCUUCCUGAGCUGAUGAGUGGCAGGCACCAUUAGUCUCAUUCGGAAGGAUGUGCUUCAUCCUUGGUGAAAGCGCUCAUCUCUUGUCUUGGCUGGCUAGAAUUUCCAGGGUGAAGAAAGGAGGAUUAGAAAAGUUCAAGGUCACCCUCCCCUACAUAGAGAGUUCAAGGCCAGGCUGGGCCACAUGAGAAAAACCAAAAGAACAGAUGGUGUUAGCAGGAGGUAGGGAAGGAGUAGGGAGGUCCAGCCCUGGGUGGGGCAGAGCCCCUGCUAAAGACAAGGGACAUUCCUUAGUGUCAACUUUCCCUUAGGAUGGAGAGGAGGGGUUGCUAGCUCGUCACACCCCACAGCCCUGGAGGACAGGAGCUUACUGUUGAGUUAGUGGGGCAGAGUCGGGGAGAGGCUGUCAUUUCGGCAGCCCUGGUACAUGGAGCCACUAGCAGGCUUCUUCGUCUCAUGUCUUCAUCCGCACCACCUCCUAGCAGCCUGCCCUCCCCAACUUGUCCACUUAAAGCCUGGGCCAGUGAGAUGACUCUGCAGAUAAAGGUAUUGUCACCCAGCCUGAGGACCUGAGUUCAAUUUCUGGGUUCCAUAUGAUGGAAGGAGAGAACUGAGUCCCUUAACUUGAUCUCUAACCUGCACAUGUGGAUUGUGAAUGGGCUUAUGUGCCCACACACCCUCUCUCUCACACAAUAAACAUAAGUAAUAAAUGUAUACAUGCAUAUACACAUACAUAAUACACACAUACAUACAUGCUUGAAUGCAUACAUACGUUCGUAUGUAUGUCCUUGCCACUCUCUUGGAACCUGACUCCUACAGAAUGUAACCUUGAUUUGUGCUCCAGGCUCACUUGACACCUGGCUUCUGUGGCUUGUUCGAGUCCUCUGUCUCCCAGACAAUGAGCUAGGAUUCUGGUCAUUCAGGUUCAGCCUGGGUGCAGAGAGUUUUGAGUGGGCCUGUCCACUGGAGACCACUCCUCUCGUCACCCAUGAAGCAUCUAAAGUUAAGUAUGAUGGUGCAGACCUGGAAUCCCAGAAUUCAGGAGGUGGGGGCAGGGAUUUCUAAACUCAGAAGUCAGCCUGAGCUAUCUAGAGAGAUGCUGUUUCAAAAAUUUAAAACAGCCGGGUGUGGUGGCACACGCCUUUAAUCCCAGCACUCGGGAGGCAGAGGUAGGCGGAUUUCUGAGUUCGAGGCCAGCCUGGUCUACAAAGUGAGUUCCAGGACAGCCAGGGAUAUACAGAGAAACCCUGUCUCGAAAAACCAAAAAUAAAAAAUAAAUAAAACAAAACCGAA